UUCUAACCUAAACGAUGCCAGCUAGCGAUCCGCCAAAGUUCCUCCGAUGACUUGGUGGGCAGCUUCCGGGAAACCAAAGCAUUUGGGUUCCGGGGGAAGUAUGGUUGCAAAGCUGAAACUUAAAGGAAUUGACGGAAGGGCACCACCAGGAGUGGAGCCUGCGGCUUAAUUUGACUCAACACGGGAAACCUCACCAGGCCCGGACACCGGAAGGAUUGACAGAUUGAGAGCUCUUUCUUGAUUCGGUGGGUGGUGGUGCAUGGCCGUUCUUAGUUGGUGGAGCGAUUUGUCUGGUUAAUUCCGAUAACGAACGAGACUCUAGCCUACUAAAUAGACGUACUUUAUUACCGGCAUCUCAAGGCCCAUCGGCUGUAUUGUUACUGAAUGUUAUUUGUAUAUUUUGUUGAUAUAUAUUUAUAAAUAUGUAUGAUUUGAUAAUAUAUAUUUUAUUAUAA
RNAcentral lists this ribosomal RNA (455 nucleotides) under Myrmeleon fasciatus group sp. 195-MyfaPant. RNAcentral describes it as "bacterial SSU rRNA". It matches the Rfam family "Eukaryotic small subunit ribosomal RNA", at positions 1024 to 1403 of the family's 1831-position model. The record is from RNAcentral. Lineage: Eukaryota; Metazoa; Arthropoda; Insecta; Neuroptera; Myrmeleontidae.